GCAAACUUGGUCAUUUAGAGGAAGUAAAAGUCGUAACAAGGUCUCCGUUGGUGAACCAGCGGAGGGAUCAUUGCAAGAUCGAGUGCGUUCUGCGCGCUCCUUCCCAAACCACCUGUCUACCUUACCGGACCCGUUGCUUCGGCGGCGGCGAGGCCCUUGUUUGCCCGCCACCGCCGGAGGUAUGCACGAACAAGACUCAUCUGUCUGUUUCUUCUAGCAAAAGCACUGGCCAAUCUUUUGGGCAGCCUGCCGAGCUUCUCUCCUGAGCAAAAAGAAUUGAGAAAAGAGAAAAACGAAAUUAAGUCAAAACUUUCAACAACGGAUCUCUUGGUUCUGGCAUCGAUGAAGAACGCAGC
RNAcentral lists this unclassified non-coding RNA (356 nucleotides) under uncultured fungus. Its description in RNAcentral is "partial contains small subunit ribosomal RNA, internal transcribed spacer 1, and 5.8S ribosomal RNA". The stretch from base 1 to 73 matches the Rfam family "Eukaryotic small subunit ribosomal RNA", at positions 1759 to 1831 of the family's 1831-position model. Lineage: Eukaryota; Fungi. The record is from RNAcentral.